GAUGAACGCUGGCGGCGUGCUUAACACAUGCAAGUCGAACGAAGCAUUUGCGACAGAUUUUUUCGGAAUGAAGUUGCUUAUGACUGAGUGGCGGACGGGUGAGUAACGCGUGGGUAACCUGCCUUGUACUGGGGGAUAGCAGCUGGAAACGGCUGGUAAUACCGCAUAAGCGCACAAUGUUGCAUGACAUGGUGUGAAAAACUCCGGUGGUAUAAGAUGGACCCGCGUCUGAUUAGCUAGUUGGUGAGAUAACAGCCCACCAAGGCGACGAUCAGUAGCCGACCUGAGAGGGUGACCGGCCACAUUGGGACUGAGACACGGCCCAGACUCCUACGGGAGGUAGCAGUGGGGAAUAUUGCACAAUGGAGGAAACUCUGAUGCAGCGACGCCGCGUGAGUGAAGAAGUAAUUCGUGAUGUAAAGCUCUAUCAGCAGGGAAGAUAGUGACGGUACCUGACUAAGAAGCUCCGGCUAAAUACGUG
This 481-nucleotide ribosomal RNA is filed under the name uncultured bacterium. RNAcentral describes it as "partial 16S ribosomal RNA". It matches the Rfam family "Bacterial small subunit ribosomal RNA", at positions 28 to 507 of the family's 1533-position model. The record is from RNAcentral.